CCGUUUGAGAUAUCAAAAAUCCCCUGGCAAUUUUUCAUCCCCAAUGUCUUGAGAUCAUGUUCACCGAGUUUCGUGGAGAACGGGUGGAAAACCUCAGAGGAGUAUUUCAAAUUCCAGAGCAUGCUUUUUUUAAACAGCCCUGAAUAGCUCACUUCCUGUUGGGCGGAGCCUAUGACAUAGAGCGCGAAAGUUGUUCGGCUCAAUGAGAUCUAUAAGUGUACAGAGUUUCAUAUAAAUACAUGCAAGUAUGUGUGCGCUAUGGUUCAAGAUUUCUGACUGUGUUCCAGGGGGCGCCGUAGAGCCCCUGUGCCACGCCCGGGUCCCAGCCUCUGCGGCGUCCUGAUGGCCGCAGGAUCCAAUGUGUGUGCCAAUUUUCAAGAGUUUUUGAGUAUGUUAAGGCCUCCAAAAACCCCCGAAAGGUUAAAAAAAAAAUAAAAAAAAUAAUAAUAAAUAUAGCUGCAAGCAGCGAUGGCGGGCUCAAGCCAUCAGCGCAAACGCCACCCCGGUGGCAUCAGGAAAACUGUGCCCAGCGGGCACAUGCAUUUACAGUAACUCUAUGGCAGUCUGGUUUUAAGGAUUCGGCAAUUAAAGGGUUAAUCCAAACCAUCAAGACUAUGAAAGACACACACAGAGAACAAUACAUAAUACUUUAGUAACACUCUUUUAUAAGGUUUCAGUUAUUAAGAUUAACUAACAUGAACAAUAAUUAUAUUGCAUGUCAAUGUCAGUUAAUAGUCAAAACUUUAAAAAAAAAAUAUAUCUGUUAACAUUAGUUAUGCACUGUGAACUAAAAUCAACAAACAUUAAUAAAUUCUGUGAAAAUAUAUUUUUCAUGUUCAUUUACUAAUGUUUACAAAUUAGACCUUAUUAUAAAGUGUUACUAAAACCUUUAUUGAUUUACACUGUGUGCACAAUUAUUAGGCAUGUUGAUAUUCUGAUUUUUUUUUUCCAAGCACAUUUUACCAAUUCCCAAUGACAUCAAUCUUAAUAACUACCAUUAAUUUUGUAUUUAAUCAUUUAUGAGCGAUAUAUAAUUGUCCAUGAAGGCUGGAAGAGAAAAACUCCUUAUAUUCAGGUGUGCAGAAUUAUUAGGCUUUUUUUACAGAUGAAAUGAGCCAA
Cyprinus carpio carpio is the source of this 1119-nucleotide long non-coding RNA. Lineage: Eukaryota; Metazoa; Chordata; Actinopteri; Cypriniformes; Cyprinidae. The record is from Ensembl.